Ribosomal RNA from Caldanaerobius fijiensis DSM 17918, 111 nucleotides. It matches the Rfam family "Bacterial small subunit ribosomal RNA", at positions 1 to 108 of the family's 1533-position model. NCBI's taxonomy places the organism in Bacteria, Bacillati, Bacillota, Clostridia, Thermoanaerobacterales, Thermoanaerobacteraceae. The record is from Rfam.
UUACAAGAGAGUUUGAUCCUGGCUCAGGACGAACGCUGGCGGCGUGCCUAACACAUGCAAGUCGAGCGGAGGUAGUGGAGCUUGCUCUAUUACCUUAGCGGCGGACGGGUG